GUUUGAGCCAUUGACUACUAUUUUUAACGUAUCAUAUUAUUACACACCUUGAACCAAAAAAUAAAUUAAUGUAAUCACAUAAGAUUUGAAAUUCGGCCCAACAAAUAUGGUAUAACAGAUGUAAUUAAGAACAUAAGUGGAAACAUAUUAUAAGCAAAAGUAAACGACAUUUUGUUAACUUGAUUCACUAAUAAAGGUUGAAGGUGGCUUUCAGGAUACAAUAUAGUUAUAUGAACACAAAUGUACAUGCAUACGGUUCAAAAUUUAAAACUUAUGGAAGUCCAAUAGAAGUGACUAAACUAGAAAUCGCAGUCCAGAUAAAAGAGAUCCUGAUGA
RNAcentral lists this long non-coding RNA (336 nucleotides) under Brassica napus (rape). RNAcentral's name for it is "long non-coding RNA (BNAP_LNC001491)". Lineage: Eukaryota; Viridiplantae; Streptophyta; Magnoliopsida; Brassicales; Brassicaceae. The record is from RNAcentral.